GAUGAAGAACGUAGCGAAAUGCGAUAAGUAGUGUGAAUUGCAGAACUCAGUGAAUCAUCGAAUCUUUGAACGCACAUUGCGCCCUCUGGUAUUCCGGAGGGCAUGCCUGUUCGAGCGUCAUUAAAACUACUCAAGCUAAGGUUUUACCUUCUGCUUGGUCUUGGGUUUGAGGAUUCAAAAUCCUCUCUCCGAAAUCCAGUGGCGAAUUGUUUGAGCUGUAGACGUAGUAAAUCAUUCUACCCGUUGCAAGCGAGAAUAAUAUUCAGCCAUAACCCCCAUACUUUUCUAGUUUGACCUCGGAUCAGGUAGGGAUACCCGCUGAACUUAAGCAUAUCAAUAAGCGGAGGA
This 348-nucleotide unclassified non-coding RNA is filed under the name soil metagenome. RNAcentral's name for it is "partial contains 5.8S ribosomal RNA, internal transcribed spacer 2, and large subunit ribosomal RNA". The stretch from base 1 to 120 matches the Rfam family "5.8S ribosomal RNA", at positions 35 to 154 of the family's 154-position model. The record is from RNAcentral.